AUGGCGGCCGCCCCCGCCCCCGCCCCUUCGCCGCCGGAAGCGUCCCCGCCGCCCCUCGACGCCUCUGCCUCCGCCUCCGACGACGAGUGGGAUGCGGAUGGAUUUGUUAUUCCUGAUGUGACUAUUCAAGAUGAUGAUGAUGAUGUUACUACACACAGUGUCCCCAAAGCAAGGGAUCCUGAACCUCAGCAGGCUAAAGAGGAGAAGAUAUACCUGGGACCUCAUGGGGCGCCACCAUCAGGAGCAAAGCAGCAACAACUUAACACAGUUGGCCGUAAGCAGAGUGUCAGAAACAAGCUGAAGGAAGCAGAUAGGAAAUCCAGUGGCAAUGCUCAGGAGAACAAGGUGGAAAGCCUAAGAGAGCUCAUGGGGGCUGUGACAACAGAUGGUAGGGGCAUGGCGAAGAGUUCUCGUCGCGACUGGCUUGACCCACACUGUCGCGAGUCGGAGUUUGAUAGGAAACCGCGCUAG
Molecule: ribosomal RNA, 471 nt
Filed under: Triticum aestivum (bread wheat)
Lineage: Eukaryota; Viridiplantae; Streptophyta; Magnoliopsida; Poales; Poaceae
Description: partial small subunit ribosomal RNA
Source: RNAcentral